UAUCAAAAUGUGUCAACUUGUGUUUGUAUUAGGUUUGUUUUUAAUUUAUUUAAAUUAUUAGUUUCUUCUCUUGUACCCUUCAGAUCCUUUACGUUUUAACAAUUUCUACAAUUGUGAGACUCUUUGUGAUAUCUAUCUAUAUGUGAAUGUUGUUGCUUUUACAAAAGCAGCGUCUUUGAAGGAAGUGUGAAAGGGCUUUUCUUCCACUGGAAACAAACUACCUGGUAACUGUUGCUUAAGACUAACGUCUUGAAUGACACCAUCUGAAAGCUAAGCAUUGACCUGUAACAAAAGCAUAUUGAAAUCUUUAUCAAUACUACUGGAAUAUCAACAAUUAGACUAGUGUGCAGUGUCUUCAUUACAUUGGAACAACUUGAAAUUUAUUUAGGAACAUUAAAACUUGACUCUGUCAUUGAAAAUUGACUGCAAGGAUUCUUUCAAUUCACACUGGAUGUUCCAAUACUUUUAUCCAUUGAAAACGGAAACAACAGAAGUAAAUAGAAUUUUCUCAGUAUUCGCUAUCAAGGUUGAGCAAGUAAAGACGGGCUGAUGCCAAAGAACCUCACUCACAUAUUUUUGAAUGCGUUGUGGAAACUAUUUCAAGGCGGUCGGUUUCUGUUUACGAAUUAAGCCGAAUAAUUAUAAUUGAGCGCACCUAUAAAACUUAUUAUCUAUGUAUCAUAAGUAUAGAAGAAGGAAUUUUCAUCUGUGGGUCUUCCUGCGAUCUCAUUCUGUCAUAGUCAAGUGUGUUCGAUCUUCGAGAAGACGACAUGUCGCCUGUUUUGUAGUCCAUAAACGAAGACAACGCCUGAAGGCUUACCAAGAAAUAAUACCCUUGGAUUAGAUAGACAAACUACUUACAGAUGUAAUAUUGUGGCAGUCAGAGUUAUAUUUCAAGAAAUGGUAAAGAGCUAGUCGAAAAAAUCAUGGGGCCCAAAUGUUAACAAUGGUUUCCAUUAAAUCCUAAUAUUGUGAACAUGGAAAGGGUAAAUCAAAAGGACUCGAAACGUGCGGAAGCAGAGCCCCACUCACGCUUCUAUCUCUUGUGCUUGAAAAGGGACCAUUUGUAGAAAGGGUUUUAACAAGGUAAAAAAAUUAGAAGGACUGGAAACCUGGAGGAGUGGAGUCCCAUUAAUGCUCCCUUCCCUUGGACAUGAAAGGUGCAAUUUUUAGAAAUACGUGCAGUCCAAUUGACACCGAUGUAUAUAAAGUUACACACGUGAUGUCUUCUACUAUGUGGCUCAUUUCAUCAUCAGUGGUAUUAUUUUCCCUUUCUCAAGCAUCUAUUGUUGGAGAAACUUCUCUGUUAUCAACGCUUAUGAAUAAAACGAAUACCAUAGAAGAAUAUAUUUGAGAUCGUCCAACAGAUGAGAGGAAAUUGAAGUUCAGAUUGAUCCUAUUGAAACAUUAAAUUA
Long non-coding RNA from Agrilus planipennis (emerald ash borer), 1415 nucleotides. RefSeq lists it as uncharacterized. The record is from RefSeq and is a predicted model, not a curated record. The transcript is spliced from 8 exons. Lineage: Eukaryota; Metazoa; Arthropoda; Insecta; Coleoptera; Buprestidae.